CAGCCGCCGCGGGAAAACAGAGGGUGCAAGCGUUAAUCGGAAUUACUGGGCGUAAAGCGCGCGUAGGUGGUUUGUUAAGUUGGAUGUGAAAUCCCCGGGCUCAACCUGGGAACUGCAUCCAAAACUGGCAAGCUAGAGUAUGGUAGAGGGUGGUGGAAUUUCCUGUGUAGCGGUGAAAUGCGUAGAUAUAGGAAGGAACACCAGUGGCGAAGGCGACCACCUGGACUGAUACUGACACUGAGGUGCGAAAGCGUGGGGAGCAAACAGGAUUAGAUACCCGGGUAGUCCCUGUCUCUUAUAA
Molecule: ribosomal RNA, 301 nt
Filed under: uncultured bacterium
Lineage: Bacteria
Description: partial 16S ribosomal RNA
Rfam family: Bacterial small subunit ribosomal RNA
Source: RNAcentral